GCUUAUUCUCAGGGCGGGGUGCAAUUCCCCACCGGCGGUAAACCUGGCUAAAGUAUUGCACAGGAAGCCCGCGAGCGCUCAGGUUGCAUUGCAGUCUGAGGUCAGCAGAUCCGGUGUAAUUCCGGGGCCGACGGUAAUAGUCCGGAUGGGAGAGAGUAACG
This 161-nucleotide non-coding RNA is filed under the name Sodalis glossinidius. Its description in RNAcentral is "FMN sequence". It matches the Rfam family "FMN riboswitch aptamer (RFN element)". Rfam says of the family: The RFN element is a highly conserved domain that is found frequently in the 5'-untranslated regions of prokaryotic mRNAs that encode for flavin mononucleotide (FMN) biosynthesis and transport proteins. Lineage: Bacteria; Pseudomonadati; Pseudomonadota; Gammaproteobacteria; Enterobacterales; Bruguierivoracaceae. The record is from RNAcentral. RNAcentral also lists the same sequence under 1 other name.